CGAGGUACUCCCGGGCCCUCCUCUGGAAGCGGUGGUCAGUGCUGGCCAUCACGGGGCCCGUGGCUGCCGCCUGCACAUGCUGAGUGCCCGGCACUGCCAUUGCAGCUGCGCCCCUUGACAGCAUCCACAGCCUGGCUGCCUACUACAUCGACUGCAUCAGGCAGGUGCAGCCCGAGGGCCCCUACCGUGUGGCCGGCUACUCCUACGGGGCCUGCGUGGCCUUUGAAAUGUGCUCCCAGCUGCAGGCCCAGCAGAGCCCAGCCCCCACCCACAACAGCCUCUUCCUGUUCGACGGCUCGCCCACCUACGUACUGGCCUACACCCAGAGCUACCGGGCAAAGCUGACCCCAGGCUGUGAGGCCGAGGCCGAGACGGAGGCCGUAUGCUUCUUCGUGCAGCAGUUCACGGACAUGGAGCACAACAGGGUGCUGGAGGCGCUGCUGCCGCUGAAGGGCCUAGAGGAGCGUGUGGCAGCCGCCGUGGACCUGAUCAUCAAGAGCCACCAGGGCCUGGACCGCCAGGAGCUGAGCUUUGCGGCCCGGUCCUUCUACUACAAGCUGCGUGCCGCUGAGCAGUACACACCCAAGGCCAAGUACCAUGGCAACGUGAUGCUACUGCGCGCCAAGACGGGUGGCGCCUACGGCGAGGACCUGGGCGCGGACUACAACCUCUCCCAGGUGCACAAGGGGCCUGACGGGAACGGGGACAGGGACAGGAGUGGGGUGGGACGGCAGCUGAUCGCAUCCCCUGCAGGUAUGCGACGGGAAAGUAUCCGUCCACGUCAUCGAGGGUGACCACCGCACACUGCUGGAGGGCAGCGGCCUGGAGUCCAUCGUCAGCAUCAUCCACAGCUCCCUGGCUGAGCCACGCGUGAGCGUGCGGGAGGGCUAGGCCCGUGCCCCCGCCUGCCACCGGAGGUCACUCCACCAUCCCCACCCCACCCCACCCCACCCCACCCCACCCCCGCCAUGCAACGGGAUUGAAGGGUCCUGCCGGUGGGACCCUGUCCGGCCCAGUGCCACUGCCCCCCGAGGCUG
This 1037-nucleotide small RNA is filed under the name Pan troglodytes (chimpanzee). RNAcentral's name for it is "retained intron". The record is from RNAcentral. Lineage: Eukaryota; Metazoa; Chordata; Mammalia; Primates; Hominidae.